RNAcentral lists this ribosomal RNA (443 nucleotides) under uncultured bacterium. RNAcentral describes it as "bacterial SSU rRNA". It matches the Rfam family "Bacterial small subunit ribosomal RNA", at positions 97 to 520 of the family's 1533-position model. The record is from RNAcentral.
GGCGCAAGGGUGCGUAACACGUGGGCAAUCUGCCGUGAAGUCUGGAAUAACUUGCUGAAAGGCGAGCUAAUACCGGAUGUGAAAAUUGGGAGGCAUCUUCUGAUUUUCAAAGUUGGGGACCGUAAGGCCUGACGCUUCACGAUGAGCCCGCGGCCUAUCAGCUAGUUGGUGAGGUAACGGCUCACCAAGGCUAAGACGGGUAGCUGGUCUGAGAGGACGACCAGCCACACUGGAACUGAGACACGGUCCAGACACCUACGGGUGGCAGCAGUCGAGAAUUUUUCACAAUGGGCGAAAGCCUGAUGGAGCGACGCCGCGUGGGGGAUGAAUGGCUUCGGCCCGUAAACCCCUGUCAUUCGCGAACAAUGCCUGCGUGCUAACACCACGCAGGUUGAUAGUAGCGGAAGAGGAAGGGACGGCUAACUCUGUGCCAGCCGCCGCGG